AGCAAGUUAGCUAUGUAAGGGAAAUGUCAUAUGAAAAUGAUAGGACUACUGCGAUCCAUGUCAAAUAUCGUUUACAGCAGGGGUGCCCAAAAGGUAGAUCCCCAGAUGUUUUAAAACUCCAAUGGCAUGCACAGCAUUAUGGGAGUUGUAGUUCUACAACAUCUGGGGAUCUACCAUUUGGGCAUCCAUGGUUUACAAUUUGGAAGCAAUAUAAACAGCCUUAAAUGGAUCAUAUCCUAAAGGAAAAUAUAAAAAUACAAGCAAAUGAGUAAGUCUUUGUUGCUGGUAAUAUGCAUUAUGACCAGAAUAGGAUCAUACACUAUGAAUGUG
Molecule: non-coding RNA, 330 nt
Organism: Pelobates cultripes (western spadefoot toad)
Lineage: Eukaryota; Metazoa; Chordata; Amphibia; Anura; Pelobatidae
Source: the annotation of a GenBank genome assembly